This 969-nucleotide ribosomal RNA is filed under the name uncultured Gammaproteobacteria bacterium. RNAcentral's name for it is "bacterial SSU rRNA". It matches the Rfam family "Bacterial small subunit ribosomal RNA", at positions 8 to 973 of the family's 1533-position model. The record is from RNAcentral. Lineage: Bacteria; Pseudomonadati; Pseudomonadota; Gammaproteobacteria.
AGAGUUUGAUCAUGGCUCAGAUUGAACGCUGGCGGCAGGCUUAACACAUGCAAGUCGAGCGGGGAAGAGUAGCUUGCUACUUGACCUAGCGGCGGACGGGUGAGUAAUGCUUAGGAAUCUGCCUAUUAGUGGGGGACAACAUCUCGAAAGGGAUGCUAAUACCGCAUACGUCCUACGGGAGAAAGCAGGGGACCUUCGGGCCUUGCGCUAAUAGAUGAGCCUAAGUCGGAUUAGCUAGUUGGUGGGGUAAAGGCCUACCAAGGCGACGAUCUGUAGCGGGUCUGAGAGGAUGAUCCGCCACACUGGGACUGAGACACGGCCCAGACUCCUACGGGAGGCAGCAGUGGGGAAUAUUGGACAAUGGGGGGAACCCUGAUCCAGCCAUGCCGCGUGUGUGAAGAAGGCCUUUUGGUUGUAAAGCACUUUAAGCGAGGAGGAGGCUACCGAGAUUAAUACUCUUGGAUAGUGGACGUUACUCGCAGAAUAAGCACCGGCUAACUCUGUGCCAGCAGCCGCGGUAAUACAGAGGGUGCAAGCGUUAAUCGGAUUUACUGGGCGUAAAGCGCGCGUAGGUGGCCAAUUAAGUCAAAUGUGAAAUCCCCGAGCUUAACUUGGGAAUUGCAUUCGAUACUGGUUGGCUAGAGUAUGGGAGAGGAUGGUAGAAUUCCAGGUGUAGCGGUGAAAUGCGUAGAGAUCUGGAGGAAUACCGAUGGCGAAGGCAGCCAUCUGGCCUAAUACUGACACUGAGGUGCGAAAGCAUGGGGAGCAAACAGGAUUAGAUACCCUGGUAGUCCAUGCCGUAAACGAUGUCUACUAGCCGUUGGGGCCUUUGAGGCUUUAGUGGCGCAGCUAACGCGAUAAGUAGACCGCCUGGGGAGUACGGUCGCAAGACUAAAACUCAAAUGAAUUGACGGGGAAGGGCGAAUUCGCGGCCGCUAAAUUCAAUUCGCCCUAUAGUGAGUCGUAUUA